UCGAGAAUUUUUCACAAUGGGGGAAACCCUGAUGGAGCGACGCCGCGUGGGGGAUGAAUGGCUUCGGCCCGUAAACCCCUGUCAUUUGCGAAUAAACCUUGUUGUUUAAGAGAUGACGAGUUGACAGUAGCGAAAGAGGAAGGGACGGCUAACUCUGUGCCAGCAGCCGCGGUAAUACAGAGGUCCCAAGCGUUGUUCGGAUUCACUGGGCGUAAAGGGUGCGUAGGUGGUCGGGUAAGUCUGAUGUGAAAUCUCGAAGCUCAACUUCGAAACUGCAUUGGAUACUAUCCGGCUGGAGGGUCGGAGGGGGGACUGGAAUUCUCGGUGUAGCAGUGAAAUGCGUAGAUAUCGAGAGGAACACCAGUGGCGAAGGCGAGUCCCUGGACGACUCCUGACACUGAGGCACGAAAGCUAGGGGAGCAAACAGGAUUAGAUACCCCUGUAGUCC
Molecule: ribosomal RNA, 448 nt
Filed under: uncultured bacterium
Lineage: Bacteria
Description: bacterial SSU rRNA
Rfam family: Bacterial small subunit ribosomal RNA
Source: RNAcentral